Molecule: microRNA precursor, 138 nt
Organism: Lupinus angustifolius (narrow-leaved blue lupine)
Lineage: Eukaryota; Viridiplantae; Streptophyta; Magnoliopsida; Fabales; Fabaceae
Rfam family: mir-172 microRNA precursor family
About the family: mir-172 has been experimentally verified in Arabidopsis thaliana. This family is thought to target mRNAs coding for APETALA2-like transcription factors.
Source: Rfam
UUGUUUGCUGGUGGAGCAUCUUCAAGAUUCACAAGCUUUAGGGGCUUUUGCUUGAGGUGUGGUCCCUUUUGUUGCCCUGAACCUGAACCUAUUAGCCCUUUUAUGUGAGAAUCUUGAUGAUGCUGCAGUGGCAAUAAA